Ipomoea nil (Japanese morning glory) is the source of this 81-nucleotide long non-coding RNA. RefSeq lists it as uncharacterized. The transcript is spliced from 3 exons. The record is from RefSeq and is a predicted model, not a curated record. Lineage: Eukaryota; Viridiplantae; Streptophyta; Magnoliopsida; Solanales; Convolvulaceae.
UCUUGAUCAACCUAAGAAGGAGAUUUAAAGCUUAUAGGAAAGUGAUCACACGCCUGAAGAUCUCGUUUCCUCACUUCCCUA